RNAcentral lists this ribosomal RNA (274 nucleotides) under uncultured bacterium. Its description in RNAcentral is "partial 16S ribosomal RNA". It matches the Rfam family "Bacterial small subunit ribosomal RNA", at positions 523 to 796 of the family's 1533-position model. The record is from RNAcentral.
AUACAGAGGGUGCAAGCGUUAAUCGGAAUUACUGGGCGUAAAGCGCGCGUAGGUGGUUAGUUAAGUUGGAUGUGAAAGCCCUGGGCUCAACCUGGGAACGGCAUUCAAAACUGGCUGACUAGAGUAUGGUAGAGGGAAGGGGAAUUCCAGGUGUAGCGGUGAAAUGCGUAGAUAUCUGGAGGAACAUCAGUGGCGAAGGCGCCUUCCUGGACUAAUACUGACACUGAGGUGCGAAAGCGUGGGUAGCAAACAGGAUUAGAAACCCUAGUAGUCC